AUUGAACGCUGGCGGCAGGCCUAACACAUGCAAGUCGGACGGUAGCACAGAGAGCUUGCUCUUGGGUGACGAGUGGCGGACGGGUGAGUAAUGUCUGGGGAUCUGCCCGAUAGAGGGGGAUAACCACUGGAAACGGUGGCUAAUACCGCAUAACGUCGCAAGACCAAAGAGGGGGACCUUCGGGCCUCUCACUAUCGGAUGAACCCAGAUGGGAUUAGCUAGUAGGCGGGGUAAUGGCCCACCUAGGCGACGAUCCCUAGCUGGUCUGAGAGGAUGACCAGCCACACUGGAAGUGAGACACGGUCCAGCCACCUACGGGAGGCAGCAGUGGGGAAUAUUGCACAGUGGGCGCAAGCCUGAUGCAGCCAUGCCGCGUGUAUGAAGAAGGCCUUCGGGUUGUAAAGUACUUUCAGCGGGGAGGAAGGCGACGCGGUUAAUAACCGCGUCGAUUGACGUUACCCGCAGAAGAAGCACCGGCUAACUCCGUGCCAGCCGCCGCGGUAA
RNAcentral lists this ribosomal RNA (504 nucleotides) under uncultured bacterium. Its description in RNAcentral is "partial 16S ribosomal RNA". It matches the Rfam family "Bacterial small subunit ribosomal RNA", at positions 29 to 523 of the family's 1533-position model. The record is from RNAcentral.